Molecule: ribosomal RNA, 406 nt
Filed under: uncultured bacterium
Lineage: Bacteria
Description: partial 16S ribosomal RNA
Rfam family: Bacterial small subunit ribosomal RNA
Source: RNAcentral
AUUGAACGCUGGCGGCAGGCCUAACACAUGCAAGUCGAACGAGUGGCGGACGGGUGAGUAAUGUCUGGGAAACUGCCUGAUGGAGGGGGAUAACUACUGGAAACGGUAGCUAAUACCGCAUACCAUCGGAUGUGCCCAGAUGGGAUUAGCUAGUAGGUGGGGUAAAGGCUCACCUAGGCGACGAUCCCUAGCUGGUCUGAGAGGCUGACCAGCCAAACUGGAACUGAGACACGGUCCAGACGCCUACGGGAGGCAGCAGAGGGGAAUAUUGCACAAUGGGCGAAAGCCUGAUGCAGCCAUGCCGCGUGUAUGAAGAAGGCCUUCGGGUGGUAAAGUACGUUCAGCGGGGAGGCGUUACCCGCAGAAGAAGCACCGGCUAACUCCGUGCCAGCAGCAGCGGUAAGAC